CCUACGGGAGGCAACAGUGAGGAAUAUUGGUCAAUGGGCGUAAGCCUGAACCAGCCAAGUCGCGUGAGGGAUGAAGGUUCUAUGGAUCGUAAACCUCUUUUAUAAGGGAAUAAAGUGCGGGACGUGUCCCGUUUUGUAUGUACCUUAUGAAUAAGGAUCGGCUAACUCCGUGCCAGCCGCCGCGGUAAUACGGAGGAUCCGAGCGUUAUCCGGAUUUAUUGGGGUUAAAGGGUGCGUAGGGGGGCUUUUAAGUCAGCGGUGAAAGUCUGUGGCUCAACCAUAGAAUUGCCGUUGAAACUGGGAGGCUUGAGUAUGUUUGAGGCAGGCGGAAUGCGUGGUGUAGCGGUGAAAUGCUUAGAUAUCACGCAGAACCCCGAUUGCGAAGGCAGCCUGCCAAGCCAUGACUGACGCUGAUGCACGAAAGCGUGGGGAUCAAACAGGAUUAGAUACCCGUGUAGUC
Molecule: ribosomal RNA, 460 nt
Filed under: uncultured bacterium
Lineage: Bacteria
Description: partial 16S ribosomal RNA
Rfam family: Bacterial small subunit ribosomal RNA
Source: RNAcentral